AAUUAACAUAAUAAAAUUGAUAUGGCCAUCCAAUAAUGACAUAAGGAACAGGAGUGACAAAAAAGAGCGUGUUAACAGAAAAAGGGUAGAGAACAAUAUAGAGUUGAAAAUGGCUUCUCACCCUCCACUCCAACCCUAUUUUUCUCAUUUCCCUCUUCUCCUUAUCUUCAUCUUUCAUUUCUCUUUUCCUCAUCAAUCUCAAAGAUGAAACUACCACAUAUCAUGAAGAAGAAAAUGAAGAAGAAGAGAAGGCCAGAAUUUUAAGACACAUUUCUUCAACCAAAUAUGGUGCUAGGACAAAAAUGCCCUUGCUUAUUCUGAGGCGCAAUAUUUAGUCAGCAGUCAGCACCACUUCUAUCUCUUGAAUUACGGGGAACAAGGCAUAUAGGAUGGAGCCAGGCAUGAAGCAUUGGAAUCGAGUGUUGUAGUUAUUAUGGUGUAUGUAGAUAAUUACAGUAAUCAGUUUCAAGAAUGGUGUUUUUGAUGGCUAUAUAUAGAUAUUUAAUUAUUUA
Daucus carota subsp. sativus is the source of this 512-nucleotide long non-coding RNA. RefSeq lists it as uncharacterized. The transcript is spliced from 2 exons. The record is from RefSeq and is a predicted model, not a curated record. NCBI's taxonomy places the organism in Eukaryota, Viridiplantae, Streptophyta, Magnoliopsida, Apiales, Apiaceae.